Molecule: long non-coding RNA, 4881 nt
Filed under: Citrus x clementina
Lineage: Eukaryota; Viridiplantae; Streptophyta; Magnoliopsida; Sapindales; Rutaceae
Description: Citrus clementina (C. clementina) long non-coding RNA (CCLE_LNC006786)
Source: RNAcentral
UUCUGUAUUCAGGGUAAUUAUGAAUGUUGUGAAUGUUUGCCACUCUAAGGGUGUUAUGCACAGGGAUCUCAAACCUGAGAAUUUCUUGUUCACUACCGGGGAUGAGAAUGCUGUUUUGAAGGCCGCUGAUUUUGGGUUAUCAGUGUUCAUUGAAGAAAGUAAAUUUCUCUACCUUCCUUGCACAUUUUCCAUGUUUAGAUUUUACUGCAUGUAGUAGUCUUUCAUGCCUGUAGAAUUUUCCGAUACAUAUCAUUUGAGUAAGCUGUAACUCACUUAAUGUAUUGAUUUAGGUGAAAUCAUAAGAAAAUAAUACAAAACUCUUAGGAUCACCAGGAAGGCAUAUUUGAUUAAUCGAGCUAUUAAUGUAUCCUUUUUUUAUUACCGUAUGAUUCAUUUUCCAGGAAAGGCUUACGACGAAAUAGUUGGGAGUCCUUACUAUAUGGCUCCCGAAGUAUUAAAGCGAAGUUAUGGGAAGGAAGCAGACAUUUGGAGCGCAGGAGUGAUAUUGUAUAUUUUAUUGUGUGGUGUGCCUCCCUUUUGGGCAGGUGAAAAUCAAUAUUCUUUUUGCACCCUACACGAUCUCUUUUCACUUCAACAACGUUUUUGUAUUUCUUACCGUCAACUAAGAGUACAGAGUGUGACUAUGACCACUCUGAAUUUUUUGUGUGCUCUGCAGAAACGGAGCAGGGAGUUGCUCUGGCUAUAUUAAAAGGAGAAAUUGACUUCCAACGUGAUCCAUUUCCAAGUAUAUCAAGCAGUGCCAUAGAGUUGGUUCGCAGGAUGCUAACACUGGAUCCAAAAAGGCGGAUUACUGCUGCUCAAGUUCUAGGUAUAAAGCAUUGGAUCCUCAUGUUAUUAAUUUUUCUCAUUCAUUCUAUCUAUGCUGCUUUGAUUACUGCAAGUUAAAAUUUAUUGGUCUAUUUAAUAAUACAAAUGGUAUAGCUACCACUGAAAAAUGUAUAUGAUAUGCAGAGCACCCUUGGCUUAAAGAAAGUGGAGAAGCAUCAGAUAAGCCAAUUGAUACUGCUGUUAUUUUCAGGAUGAAGCAGUUUACGGCAAUGAAUAAACUAAAGAAACUUGCACUAAAGGUAAGUCUAACUGUCUAAGGCCCAUGAGUCCCUCCUAAAUGAGCUUAAACUUGAGAAAUACUUGGAUAGGAUUGAUAGAUAUAAAGGAAAGUGACAAAGCUUGUAUCUUAAGCACACGUGACAAAUAAUAUACAUGUGUCAAAAGAUUCUCCAAAUUAUAACAUGUAUGUGAAUCUAUACCUGAUGACAUUGUAUGCAUGUUCAUGACGACAUUUUAAUUCUAAAUAUUAUAACAGAAAUUUAUAUGACUGACUAUCAUGAGUUACAUGUUUGAUUGAAAUUUUGCAUCUACGCUUCCUCGUCAACAACAUUAUAUUGUAUUGUUGUAUUUUGAAAACUUGUGCAAGCCAAUAAAAAUUUAUGUAUUCUAUUGUGUUCGCCCUACUGAUAAACCAUGUGUUCUUUAGGUCAUUGUGGAAAAUCUUCCUACUGAAGAAAUACAAAAACUAAAAGAAAAAUUUACAGAGAUGGACACUGACAACAGUGGCACUCUUACUUACGAUGAAUUGAAGGAAGGAUUAGCUAAACUUGGAUCGACACUUACAGAAUUUGAUGUCAAGCAGUACAUGCAGGCUGUAAGUAAUUCAUGAACGCUGAGUUUAUCACACUGUCUGUCUAUUUGCAUUAUACCCAGCUGAUAUUGUUGGCUCUGCAUUUCUGCAGGCUGAUAUAGAUGGAAAUGGGACCAUUGACUACAUUGAGUUUAUAACAGCUACGAUGCAAAGGCACAAGCUACAAAGAUUUGAAAAUCUUUAUAAAGCCUUUCAGUACUUUGACAAGGAUAAUAAUGGGUAAGCUUCUCAUUUUAUUUUUAUUAUUAUAGAAGCAUGUUGAGCAUUAUUUGCAUCCUCAGUUUUUUCAUGAUCUGAAUGGGGAAUAUUGAAAACCUACUCCCUCCAUUAACUGGCUAAAAUUUAAUGGGUUAUAUCUGGAGUCAAUUGACUAAUUAAUGAAGUUUUUAUUCUAAAUGGCUAUGUAGAUAUAUCACGGUAGAUGAACUCGGAAAAGCUUUCAAAGAUUAUGGCAUGGGUGAUGAUGCCACAAUUGCUACAAUUAAAGAAAUAAUGUCUGAAGUUGACAGAGACAAAGUAAGUUGAUUUUCAGUUUCAAGGGCAUUAGUAAUUUGUCUUCAUUAUUGUAAGUCAAUUCCCACGCCUUUAAUUUGUGUAUACAGGAUGGUAGAAUCAGCUAUGAUGAAUUUCGUUCAAUGAUGAAAUGCGGAACCCAACUGCGAGCAUUGUCUUCUAGAUCUCUGGCUCAUGUUGUAACCGUAAGACGCAAGGUAUUCUGGUAGGUAAACUGUGUUGUUAUUCAUCGUUUUCUGUAUAUCUUUGUAAAUUUUGUUAUUGCAGUUUUGUGAGAGUGUAUUAGAACAAUAAUAGUCAUAUACGGAAUUGCACAAAAUUACCUUCUUCCCAUUUUCUUCUUACAGUCAAAUAAAUAAAUAUUAGGAAGUGAACAAAUUUUGUGAUGCAUACAUAGGCUCUGAAUAUUGUAGGAUCAAAAGAUUUAUGCAGUAUUUCUAUUAAGAUUUGUUUCUAUGAAAUAAAAUACAGUUGAAACAAAUACAUGGAUGAGUACACAUACAGUUGAAACAAAUACAUGGAUGAGUACACAUACAGUUGAAACAAAUACUUGGAUGAGUACACGCUUUAUUCUAUGAAUCUCCUUUGAUUCAAAAAAGGAAAAUGCAGAGAGGCGAGAGAGAAGACAUUGGCAAAAAUCACCAUCAUCACAGCAGCAAACGGGCACUUAAUAAAUUAGAAAGUCUUUCUUCUCGUCACAAUAAUUAACCUUUCUUGAUUUGCCCAAUUUUGUUAAAAUGUUAAGCCUAGAGAGAGCUUCGCCACUUAGCCAUUGCAACUUGGGGGUUUAAUUGCACUCGAAUCGCUAUUUCAGCCUCUGAGGAAGACGAAUUAGAGGACAAUGCCUGUGGGUCAGUGUGUUAACAUAAGCAAAAUUGUAAACGGCAGUGAUCCUUCAACAGCUUUGAAAACUCGCUCUUUUUAUCAAUCAAUUUCUUCAAGCUGAGACCUUGUUCAGAGAUGGAGAGGGGAACAACAAAGAGAGAAAAGGACUUGAAAAAUAAAAUAAAAAAUUGUUUGCAUUAAAUUAUUUGCAAAUCUAAGGUUAUUUUUUUAUUACUAGUGGAUAAUAUUAGGGGCAAAUAUAAUACAUUCAUCGGUCAACUAUGGUUUGACCAUAAAGAAAAAAACAAAAAACUAAUGACAUGAGGGUGGGGGGAUGACUUUUCCAAUAAUUGAACCAUAAUAAACCCCAAAAAAAACGCAUUUUUUACGAAUUAUUUUAUAUAUUAAAUGCAAUUAUCUUCAUAUUAUUAAUCUGUUAGAAGAUUUUUAUUGGGAAUAUUAAUUUUUGUACUAUUUAUAAAAUUUUUUAAACAAUAAUGAAUUAUGUGGGCUAUGUGUAUAUUUGAAAGAUAUAAUUUAAUUUAUUGAUUUUUUAAAUUUAUGGGGAGAAUAAAAAUAUGAAUGGAAUCUUUGUUAUUCAUUGUUUGAGUCAUGGGGAAGGUUCAUUAUCGGGUUACACCACCAUCAUUUAUUCAAACUUCUAUCCUAUCCCACGCGUUUCUUUUUCGCUGACCAUUUCGAACAAAAGCCAAAAAAUUUCAGAAUUUCUUACCAAAAAAAAUAAAGGGCCAAUAAAUUUUAACCAUAAUGACGCAUAGUUUGAUAGAAAAAAUACAUACGCGUACCAAUAUAUAGUUGAUAUCUCCGAAUUGGGCAAGCUGGAAUUGCUCUUUGUAUUUUAUUUUACUUUUCCUUAAAAUCUCACUUGAUUCCCUAUAAUUUAUCUUUGAUCUCAAGUGGAUUUGUUCCAGUUGACUUCUGUAAAGAUCCAGACAUCCAGAGUUAAGCUUGAGCUGAGCCUCUUAUGCAGAAAUGGGUGGCUGUUUAAGCAAAAUCCCGGGCUCCUCAAAGCCAGCAGCAGCCCGACAGCAGCAACCACCUAAACUAGAUGAUGCAAUUCUUGGUAAACCGUACGAGGAUGUCAGGUUGCAUUACACCAUUGGGAAAGAACUGGGUAAGGGAGCAUUUGCUGUUACAUAUCUUUGUACUGAGAAUUCAACCGGUUUGCAAUUUGCUUGCAAGUCUAUCUCUAAGAAAAAAAUUGUAGCUGCGUAUGAAAAGGAUGAUGUAAGAAGAGAGAUUGAGAUAAUGCGACAUUUGAGUGGGCAGCCUAAUAUAGUUCAAUUUAAGGGUGCUUAUGAGGACAGGCAUUCUGUGCAUAUUGUCAUGGAGUUAUGUGCUGGUGGUGAGCUAUUUGACCGAAUUAUAGCCAAGGGCCAUUAUAGUGAGAGAGAUGCGGCUUCUGUAUUCAGGGUAAUUAUGAAUGUUGUGAAUGUUUGCCACUCUAAGGGUGUUAUGCACAGGGAUCUCAAACCUGAGAAUUUCUUGUUCACUACCAGGGAUGAGAAUGCUGUUUUGAAGGCCACUGAUUUUGGGUUAUCAGUGUUCUUUGAAGAGGGUAAAUUUCUUCACCAUAUAUAUGUUUGUAUUUGAAAUCCAUUAUAGUCACCAUAUAUAUGUUUGUAUUUGAAAUCUUAUAUUUACAUACGUUCAUGUGAACCUAAGUUUCGAUGUUCAAUUAUGUCUGAUAAAUGAAUGGCAUUUCCAUUUAAUUUCAAUAGUGAAUUAGACAUGCAGUAUGCCGUGAGGCUUCAUGUAUUACUUUAGAUGAAAUCAUCAGAAAAUAAUGUGAAACUCUUAGGAUCACCAUGAAAGGCUUGUUUAAUCUAGCUAUCAACUUAUCCUUGUCUGAUGAUACCAUG